GCAGGUGUAGCUCACUGGUAGAGGGUGUGCUUAGUGUGCACAGGGUCCUGGGUUCAAUCCCCAGUACCCCCA
RNAcentral lists this transfer RNA (72 nucleotides) under Camelus bactrianus (Bactrian camel). It matches the Rfam family "tRNA". Rfam says of the family: Transfer RNA (tRNA) molecules are approximately 80 nucleotides in length. Their secondary structure includes four short double-helical elements and three loops (D, anti-codon, and T loops). The record is from Rfam by way of RNAcentral. RNAcentral also lists the same sequence under 2 other names. Lineage: Eukaryota; Metazoa; Chordata; Mammalia; Artiodactyla; Camelidae.